CUCUGGCCAGUCUUGUUGCAAAGCUAAGGUUGGUUUUUCAGAGACGUCUGCACUUGCUGUAUUGUAAAUGCAAGAUGCGAUGAAGUAAAACCAAAACUUUUCACUUAAAAACAGCAUUUUAAAAUUCGGAUGGCUACUGGAGUAGGGAAUAACAGGAAAUGACUAAUUUAGCACGAAGAGACACAGGAAACUCAGGACAGAGGAAUCAAUUAAGUUGUACAAAUUACACGUAUAUUUAUUUACCUGGGAGAAGGAUGUAUCACAACAUUAAACAUAUUACAAUGAGAUUUGUUGGCUUGGCCAAAUUCAUGC
Long non-coding RNA from Folsomia candida, 312 nucleotides. RefSeq lists it as uncharacterized. NCBI's taxonomy places the organism in Eukaryota, Metazoa, Arthropoda, Collembola, Entomobryomorpha, Isotomidae. The transcript is spliced from 2 exons. The record is from RefSeq and is a predicted model, not a curated record.